UACGGAGGGUGCAAGCGUUAUCCGGAUUCACUGGGUUUAAAGGGUGCGUAGGCGGCCCUGUAAGUCAGUGCUGAAAUAUCCCAGCUUAACUGGGAGGGUGGCAUUGAUACUGCGGGGCUAGAGUACAGAUGAGGUAGGCGGAAUUGACGGUGUAGCGGUGAAAUGCGUUGAUAUCGGAAGGAACGCCGGUGGCGAAAGCGACCUGCUGGACCUCUUCUGACGCUGAGGCGCGAAAGCCAGGGGAGCGAACGGG
This 253-nucleotide ribosomal RNA is filed under the name uncultured bacterium. RNAcentral describes it as "partial 16S ribosomal RNA". It matches the Rfam family "Bacterial small subunit ribosomal RNA", at positions 524 to 776 of the family's 1533-position model. The record is from RNAcentral.